UUUUUCUGGAACCAGCUAUUCCCCAUCUCUUUAUUUACAUCCCUUAAUAUGCAUUACUAAAUCCCAGAAUAGGCAGGCAGUUUGGAAGUGCUGCCCUUAGUGAAGAACCAAAGUUCUGAAAAAGCAGUUUCAUAUUAAAAAAAAAAAAUAAAAAUUAAAUUUAAAAACAAACAAACCAAAACCAAACCUCCAAAAACCCCAAAACCAAAAGGCUCAUUCCACCCUCUUUUCCCAAAGAACUGUUAUGAACUGUCCCGAAUUUCCCCUUCUUCCAUAGAUGAAAGGGAGGAACUUUCACUGUCCGAGUUCUGUGCAGGUUCACUGGCAUCUGAGGGAGUAAGACACAAACAAAAAACAAAGCAGCAAUUAGUUUCAGCAGUGCUGUUUGCUCAUCAAACAGAAGCAGUUUUGAAUCUUCUUUUGUAUCUUCUUUUCCUUUACUCAAGACUUUCCUUGAGGACAGCUGUUUCACAAGACAUAACCAGUCUCAUAACAUGGGAUAACGCCCUGGGUAGAACCUCACAGUUGAAGGAGAAAGAAAGACAAUGUUGAGAAUUUCUUUCAGUUUUUAAAUCUUGGUCUUUCAGUUAAGGAGAUAAGCAGAAUAUUUAUCCCACACAAAACUCUUCUUCAUCCACCGAGAAUUUCCUUUUUUUCCCUCUUUGUUUACUUGUUUUAAAUGUUGUUUUCUGGGUUGCUACACAACUCUCGUGAACUAUAAAUCAUUUACACUUUUAUUAGCAUUUCAGUUAAGAUGGGGAACUACUGAGAAAUUCUAAAUGCAAAGGGAAAACUGGGAUGAUAUGUGCUCCUUCCAUGUGUUCCAGCAUCCCAAAGAUGGUAUUAGGCUGUGUGAAUCCAUGAGCUAAGGCUGAUGAGGUUAAGGCUGCACAGUAACUUGUGCUUUAGGACACGGCUGUGGUGCUCUGCUGAGAUCAUAAUGUGAAGCACUCAUUUCCCAAACUGGUUUUCAGCCUCACACCCUGAGACUCCUUCUUUAACAAGCACUGACCCCAGUCACCUUGUGGUGAGGUCACCAGAUACCGCUGGUUGGUGGCACUCGAGCAGCACAAAAAUAAACUGCAGCAAAGCAGGCCCAUGAUUCACGCUCUGCUCUCACUGUUAUUUUCAGUAUUUGAUCUGAGUAUGAAUUUAAAGAAGUUUUUUAGCAUUUGUGUCAGAUGCUUCAUUAAGAAAACUUUACCAAAAGGGAGCUGACGAAGUAGUUACUGUCACGUCAAGAUAAGUUCUAAAGCUGGCAAACAGUGAUAAUACGUAG
RNAcentral lists this long non-coding RNA (1279 nucleotides) under Strigops habroptila (Kakapo). Its description in RNAcentral is "lncRNA (ENSSHBG00005013980.1)". The record is from RNAcentral. Lineage: Eukaryota; Metazoa; Chordata; Aves; Psittaciformes; Psittacidae.